CUGCAGGAUAUCACACCAGCGAGCCUUUUGCUAUCUUCUGCACAGAGAUGCUUGCCUCUUAGUGUGUAUAUAUAUAUCUCCACUGUAUGGUGUGUGUGUAUAUGUCCACACUGUUGCAACAGGCAGACACUGAGGGAGGAGAGAGGGAAAUAGGGAGAGAGAGUGACAGGAAGGGAGAGAGGGAGGAAUAGAGAGAGGUAUAGUGAGAGUCAGAGUGAAAUAGGAAAAAGGGAGGGGGAGAGCUUUAUAUGAUGGUAACAUGUUUAUGAUACAGUGUAAAAAAAUAUCAAUUUAGAUAAAAAAAAAAAAAAAAAAAGAGAGAGACUUGAGGAUUGAAUGUGAGUAUUUCUGGUGAACUAGUCCACAUAGCUGCUGCCAAAGAGCCCUGACCAGACCUCUACUUGUGCUGAAGCAGACUGGAGGAGACCCUUGGUAAGUUAUGGGCUUUUUUUUUUUCCCUCCUCUCUCCUUCUCUCCCUCUCUACGCCGCUGAUUACGACGCUGCUGAUUGAUUGGUUAGAGGCUGCGGAUUAUCACGGGCCGCUCGUCACCAGGUACCUGAUGAUGAGAGGAGAGAGAGACGAGAGGAGGAGGAGGGGGGGGGGGGGAGCGAGGAAGAGAGGGGGGGAAGGAGGGGUGGAAAUUAGAUGAGCAUGGCCGGCGCUCACAUCACCAGAUCUCACUAACUCUCUUUCUGAUUUCUCUGUUUACUCUGCCAUCGCACAUUUGUAUAUACCGCGUGUGGAAAAAAAUUGAUUUUGUGCAUUUGUGUGUGUGUUUGUGUUUCAUGUUGAUGUGUGAGUGUGUGUGUGUGUGUGUGGUCCCAGCCGGCACACGUUGCCAGCCCGCCUGCCCGUCUUUCCUGUAGUCAACCCGGCGUGUGCUGAUGAGGCUUUGGGGAGGGGUUUGCUGAUGAGGGAAAAGCCAGAGGGGCCUUUUUGUGAAUAUGCAGAUGAGGGGCAUGUGUAAAUGGGAGGGGGCUCGACGUGAGUGCGCGCCACACGCUUUAUUGUUUAUAUGUUCUCCAUAGGGAGCCUGAUCCUCAACAGAUUGCCGGGGUUUUGGUGUGAUCUCGCCGCUGCUUUUGUUUGGAACAUUCGCUGACAAAGAUGGAGAAGGAGAAGAGGAGAGAGCCAGGGAGGGGAGGAGAAGAAGAAGAAAAAAAGAUAGAAAAAUACAGUAAAAGAGAAAAAAUGCAAGAGCAGCUUCAGGGCAUAUUUUCACCCCAUUGACAAGACAUGAUGAUUGCUGUUUUGCCCCCUCCCUUCUCCCCCCCUGUACCUCCCCAGACGUUUUUCUAAUCCAUUUGCAUGUCAAAGCAGCGGAGGCCACUGUGCAGAUUAGUAUGAGAUGACAUAAUGAUGUAAUGAAUUAAAUGCUCCUGUUUAAGCGCUGCACUUUGCUAUAGUGGGUGGCAGGGACAGGGGGGGGAUGAGGGGCAAAUAAGAGAAACAAGUAGGGAGGAGAAAUGCUUCCUUUUUUUUGACGUCACAGAAACACUGAUUGAAAUAACCUUUUCUGCUUCAUUUGAUUACAGCGCUGAAUCAGAGUUUGCAACGAGCUUAAUUAUAUUUGCAUAUUUUAGCGGAAUGUAAACUUGGGACUGUUAGCAUCUUGUCAACUGUACUGUACAAAUUCAAUUUAACAUGACAAACCAUCUUUUUCAUCGGAUUUGAUUUAAUCUGACAACGUCUUUUCCAUUUUUUAUUUACAGAGCAUUUAAAUUCAGAGAGAAUAUUGACUUUUUUUUCUUUUCUUGCAGUUUUAAGCAUUACAAAAAUCUUUUUUUUUAAUAGUAAUAAAAGCAUACUCUGAGUUGGCCUUUUCUAGCAGCUGCUCUGUGUUUUUUUUGCGUGAAAGCCACAUUAAAACAAAACAAAAAGCAUAUUUCUUCACACUUUGACCCGCUCAAAAAUAGGGUUCGAGGGUCAUACAGUGAAGUGAUGACUGUACAGUCAGCUCCUUUCCCUCUGAAUUCUGCCUUUAUUUCUACUUUUCUUUCAUCACCGUCUAACAAUACUCUGUCUACUGUGUUUUUUCUCUGGAUUUCAAGGAUACAUUUUGCUUGAAAUAAUAAAAAAAAAGAAAACCC
Non-coding RNA from Xyrichtys novacula (pearly razorfish), 2092 nucleotides. NCBI's taxonomy places the organism in Eukaryota, Metazoa, Chordata, Actinopteri, Labriformes, Labridae. The record is from the annotation of a GenBank genome assembly.